GUGUCCUACGGGACGCAGCAGUGGGGAAUAUUGGGCAAUGGGCGCAAGCCUGACCCAGCAAUGCCGCGUGAAGGAAGAAGGCUUUCGGGUUGUAAACUUCUUUGACAGGGGAAGAGCAGAAGACGGUACCCUGAAAACAAGCCCCGGCUAACUACGUGCCAGCAGCCGCGGUAAUACGUAGGGGGCAAGCGUUAUCCGGAUUUACUGGGUGUAAAGGGAGCGUAGACGGCAUGGCAAGUCAGAUGUGAAAGCCCGGGGCUCAACCCCGGGACUGCAUUUGAAACUGUCAGGCUGGAGUGCAGGCG
This 305-nucleotide ribosomal RNA is filed under the name uncultured bacterium. RNAcentral's name for it is "bacterial SSU rRNA". It matches the Rfam family "Bacterial small subunit ribosomal RNA", at positions 334 to 654 of the family's 1533-position model. The record is from RNAcentral.